RNAcentral lists this unclassified non-coding RNA (324 nucleotides) under soil metagenome. RNAcentral describes it as "partial contains 5.8S ribosomal RNA, internal transcribed spacer 2, and large subunit ribosomal RNA". The stretch from base 1 to 120 matches the Rfam family "5.8S ribosomal RNA", at positions 35 to 154 of the family's 154-position model. The record is from RNAcentral.
GAUGAAGAACGCAGCGAAAUGCGAUAAGUAGUGUGAAUUGCAGAAUUCAGUGAAUCAUCGAAUCUUUGAACGCACAUUGCGCCCCUUGGUAUUCCAUGGGGCAUGCCUGUUCGAGCGUCAUUUGUACCUUCAAGCUUUGCUUGGUGUUGGGUGUUUGUCCCUCGGGACUCGCCUUAAAGUCAUUGGCGGCCAGUGUUUUGGUUUUGAAGCGCAGCACAAGUCGCGAUUCAAGGCUAUCCGCCCGCUUCCACAAGCCUUUUUCACUUUUGACCUCGGAUCAGGUAGGGAUACCCGCUGAACUUAAGCAUAUCAAUAAGCGGAGGA